RNAcentral lists this ribosomal RNA (402 nucleotides) under uncultured bacterium. RNAcentral describes it as "bacterial SSU rRNA". It matches the Rfam family "Bacterial small subunit ribosomal RNA", at positions 355 to 774 of the family's 1533-position model. The record is from RNAcentral.
UGGGGAAUAUUGGACAAUGGGCGCAAGCCUGAUCCAGCAAUGCCGCGUGGAUGAAGAAGGUCUUCGGAUUGUAAAGUCCUUUCGGCGGGGACGAUGAUGACGGUACCCGCAGAAGAAGCCCCGGCUAACUUCGUGCCAGCAGCCGCGGUAAUACGAAGGGGGCUAGCGUUACUCGGAAUGACUGGGCGUAAAGGGCGCGUAGGCGGUUUGGACAGUUAGGCGUGAAAUUCCUGGGCUCAACCUGGGGGCUGCGCUUAAUACAUCCAGACUUGAGUGUGGAAGAGGGUCGUGGAAUUCCCAGUGUAGAGAUGAAAUUCGUAGAUAUUGGGAAGAACGCCGGUGGCGAAGGCGGCGACCUGGUCCAUUACUGACGCUGAGGCGCGAAAGCGUGGGGAGCAAACA